This 884-nucleotide ribosomal RNA is filed under the name Bacteroidetes bacterium Mo-0.2plat-K5. Its description in RNAcentral is "bacterial SSU rRNA". It matches the Rfam family "Bacterial small subunit ribosomal RNA", at positions 28 to 918 of the family's 1533-position model. Lineage: Bacteria; Pseudomonadati; Bacteroidota. The record is from RNAcentral.
GAUGAACGCUAGCGGCAGGCUUAACACAUGCAAGUCGAGGGGUAUAGUUCUUCGGAACUAGAGACCGGCGCACGGGUGCGUAACGCGUAUGCAAUCUACCUUUUACAGAGGGAUAGCCCAGAGAAAUUUGGAUUAAUACCUCAUAGUAUGUGAGAAUCGCAUGGUUUUCAUAUUAAAGUUCCAACGGUAAAAGAUGAGCAUGCGUCCCAUUAGCUAGAUGGUAAGGUAACGGCUUACCAUGGCGACGAUGGGUAGGGGUCCUGAGAGGGAGAUCCCCCACACUGGUACUGAGACACGGACCAGACUCCUACGGGAGGCAGCAGUGAGGAAUAUUGGACAAUGGGCGCAAGCCUGAUCCAGCCAUGCCGCGUGCAGGAUGACGGUCCUAUGGAUUGUAAACUGCUUUUGUACAGGAAGAAACACUCCCUCGUGAGGGAGCUUGACGGUACUGUAAGAAUAAGGAUCGGCUAACUCCGUGCCAGCAGCCGCGGUAAUACGGAGGAUCCAAGCGUUAUCCGGAAUCAUUGGGUUUAAAGGGUCCGUAGGCGGUUUAAUAAGUCAGUGGUGAAAGCCCAUCGCUCAACGGUGGAACGGCCAUUGAUACUGUUAAACUUGAAUUAUUAGGAAGUAACUAGAAUAUGUAGUGUAGCGGUGAAAUGCUUAGAGAUUACAUGGAAUACCAAUUGCGAAGGCAGGUUACUACUAAUGGAUUGACGCUGAUGGACGAAAGCGUGGGUAGCGAACAGGAUUAGAUACCCUGGUAGUCCACGCCGUAAACGAUGGAUACUAGCUGUUGGGCGCAAGUUCAGUGGCUAAGCGGAAGUGAUAGGUAUCCCACUUGGGGAGUACGUUCGCAAGANUGANACUCAAAGNAAUUGACGGGG